UAAGAAGGGGGCUAGCGAUGCUCGGAAUCACUGGGCGUAAAGCGCACGUAGGCGGCUUGUUAAGUCAGGGGUGAAAUCCUGGAGCUCAACUCCAGAACUGCCUUUGAUACUGACGAGCUUGAGUCCGGGAGAGGUGAGUGGAACUGCGAGUGUAGAGGUGAAAUUCGUAGAUAUUCGCAAGAACACCAGUGGCGAAGGCGGCUCACUGGCCCGGUACUGACGCUGAGGUGCGAAAGCGUGGGGAGCAAACAGG
RNAcentral lists this ribosomal RNA (253 nucleotides) under uncultured bacterium. RNAcentral describes it as "partial 16S ribosomal RNA". It matches the Rfam family "Bacterial small subunit ribosomal RNA", at positions 524 to 776 of the family's 1533-position model. The record is from RNAcentral.